AAUAGAUACCCGGGUAGUCCACCCCGUAAACGUUGGGAACUAGUUGUGGGGUCCUUUCCACGGAUUCCGUGACGCAGCUAACGCAUUAAGUUCCCCGCCUGGGGAGUACGGCCGCAAGGCUAAAACUCAAAGGAAUUGACGGGGACCCGCACAAGCGGCGGAGCAUGCGGAUUAAUUCGAUGCAACGCGAAGAACCUUACCAAGGCUUGACAUACACGAGAACACCCUAGAAAUAGGGGACUCUUUGGACACUCGUGAACAGGUGGUGCAUGGUUGUCGUCAGCUCGUGUCGUGAGAUGUUGGGUUAAGUCCCGCAACGAGCGCAACCCUCGUUCUAUGUUGCCAGCACGUAAUGGUGGGAACUCAUGGGAUACUGCCGGGGUCAACUCGGAGGAAGGUGGGGAUGACGUCAAAUCAUCAUGCCCCUUAUGUCUUGGGCUUCACGCAUGCUACAAUGGCCGGUACAAGGGCUGCAAUACCGUGAGGUGAGCGAAUCCCAAAAGCCGGUCCAGUUCGGAUUGAGGUCUGCAACUCGACCUCAUG
Molecule: ribosomal RNA, 543 nt
Filed under: uncultured bacterium
Lineage: Bacteria
Description: bacterial SSU rRNA
Rfam family: Bacterial small subunit ribosomal RNA
Source: RNAcentral